Petromyzon marinus (sea lamprey) is the source of this 117-nucleotide ribosomal RNA. NCBI's taxonomy places the organism in Eukaryota, Metazoa, Chordata, Hyperoartia, Petromyzontiformes, Petromyzontidae. The record is from Ensembl.
ACCUAUGACCAACAUACCUGGAAUGUGCCCAAUCUCAUCCGAUCUUUGAAGCUAAGCAAGUUUGAGUCUGGAGAGUGCUUGAAUAGAUGACAUAAUGCAUAUCAGGUGUUAUAGGUG